Molecule: RNA transcript, 2433 nt
Organism: Salarias fasciatus (jewelled blenny)
Lineage: Eukaryota; Metazoa; Chordata; Actinopteri; Blenniiformes; Blenniidae
Gene: nsun4
Gene name: NOP2/Sun RNA methyltransferase 4
Exons: 9
Source: RefSeq, a predicted model, not a curated record
GAGAUGGCGCUGAUGGUGGACUGCAGGCUGCUGCUGAGAAAAGUCAAAGAUUUAAGAAGUUUAACGCCCAGAAGAAACCGGGUGAAGGAGAAAUGGGCUGCCACGCGAGUCAAACACCCACCGACCCGCCUGGCGCUGCAGCACUUUGAUGCCACCUACAGUGGCCAGCUGGGGAAGAUCUGGCCGUCGGUCAGAGUUGCUCUCCUGUCAGAGAGAAAAUACGGAGCUCUGCUCAACCAUUUCUCAAACCACAAUGUUUUGGAAGACCUCCAGAGCCAAGGAUGCUCAGACUUCAUCAGUUACAGAGAUGAAGAAGCGGGUGAGCUGCGGUGCACAAAUGAAAAACCUGAGGUCGGGUGUGUGGAGGAAUCCACUGCUGACUCCGAUGGUCAGCAGCCAUCUGGCCUUCAGCUGAGCCCCAACAUCCAGUGUUUCGUGUUUCCACGAGGAGACGUGACACGAUUCCAGCCUGCUCGGCCAGACCUGUGCGGCCUGUUGAGUCACUACUUGAUGGACGCUGCGUCUGUGCUGCCCUGUCUGGCACUGGAUGUUCAGGAAGGCCACAACGUGCUCGACCUCUGCGCUGCUCCAGGAGGAAAGACCCUGGCUUUGCUUCAGACCCAGUCCAUCAGUUUUUUGUGUGUAAACGAUGCAUCUGUUUCUCGGACCAUGCGACUCCGGAAGGUUCUCAACAGCUAUGUUCCAAAGGAGUUUUUAACAAAUGAGAAGCUGCGCAUCACCUCGUUUGAUGGCACACAAUGGGGUGACAUUGAAAGGAACACCUUUGACAGAGUACUCGUUGACGUCCCUUGCACCACAGACAGACACUCGCUCAUGGAGGACGACAACAAUAUAUUCAGUAAGAACCGGAUCGGUGAAAGACGGAGGCUCCCUCAGCUGCAGGCGGAGCUGCUGCUAGCCGGAAUACAAGCAGCGUGUCCAGGUGGAGAGAUCCUUUACUCCACCUGCACACUCUCUCAAAGCCAGAACCAAAGUGUGGUUGAACAGGCUGUUUUUGUCGCUCGAGAGAACCACGACAUCCAACUUCAGGUUGUCAGUCUCCGACCGCUCACACAAAUGUUCCAAAACACUUUUUACUUCGCUCCCGACCUGCGCCUGGGUGAGAUGGUUCUCCCACAUUUAACCUCAAACUUUGGGCCUAUUUACAUGUGCAAGCUGAGGAGGCUGACUUAGACUGGGCACUGCUGAGCUGCGGGGGGAAAACAAAGACUCUGGAGCUGGGAUUGUCUCUGCUGAGACAUUAAACUGUUCUGCACAGAGUUUGAAUCACCUGUCCAGUUGAUGUAACGGGACCUUGAGGGCGUUGCUUCAGGAAAGCACUGAGCUGCACUUUCCCGUUCGCCCCGUAGGUGUCAACAGCAGAUAAAGAGUGAAUUUAUCCUGUAACCUCUGUGCCCACUAGAGGACACUAAACCUGUGUGGGUGAAGAUGGCGGGAGCUCCAGCAUGUCUGUCCUCCUGCACUGUGAAUCAUGCAUAGAGGUUUGAUGGCUUUGCCUAAUAAAGCGGCGUGCGUCUCUGUGGAAGGAUGACAUAAUGAACAGACAGGUAAUGACUGAUUUGACCAUUUGGCUUCUCACAUCUGAAUAUGCGCACCUUUCAUUACUGGAGCUGGAUCGACUCUGUUUUGCAUUGGCAUCGCUCAGAGUCCAAAUGUUUCCUCUUAUCGCAGCCUAAUAUGUAGCGAGAGGUGCCUCUUUUUCCAUCACACCGCCGAUGACCCUUUAUGUUGUCCUGGCCAGGAAAUGUAGCGUGAAAAAGGUGUGUGUGUGUGUGUCUAACGAAUCCUCCAUCCACAUCCCACUGUCAUUAAGCUGCUCCAAGUGCUGGAGCCGACUCCCAUCCCCGUACGGGGACGGACGGCAGCCAUGCGGCUCCCAGAUGAACAUUAAAGAGGCAGCAGAGAACUAAAAUGGGAUGGCUCGCCCCGUUUUGCCCCUCCGCUUUUUUAUUCCACAGAUGAGUGCAGAUAAUUUCCUGUGCGAUUGUGAGUGAUUACUGUAUUACUGCGGUAAAAGGGGGAUGUAUCGGGGAAUGCAGAGGGAAUUAAUGACACAUAAAAACUAUUUUUGUAUUGACUGCGCUCGUCCCCAGGGCCCUGAAUGCCUCUCCGCAUAUCUUGUGAUUACCUAAACGUAUUGUAAAUAUGUGUUUCCUAUGGGCUCCUCCAUAAAUUUACAUGUUUUAACACUCAGGAGACGGCAGACUGUUAGAGAUGAGUUACUCUCUAUUCCUCCUGUCUAUAGACGCGAAUGGCUGCCUGCUUUAUUAUUGAAUUAUCCAAUGAAGCGCUGUGCAUUUGUGUCCCUGUGUGUAAGCCUGUGUUAGGGAGACAUGCUGUGUAUUAGAAAGAUGAAUAUUAUGGAUUUAACAACACAACCUAGCUUCUGUUGUGUUACAUUUUUUUUGUUAA